AUCCUGUAGUCGUAACAGGUAGCCGUAAAGUUUGAUCCUGGCUCAGGAUAGGUCGUAGCUGGUAGCCGUAGAGUUUGCGGGUGCUCAUGCCUAGGAAUCUGCCUGGUACUGGGGGAUAACGUCCGGAAACGGGCGCUAAUACCGCAUACGUCCUGAGGGAGAAAGUGGGGGAUCUUCGGACCUCACGCUAUCAGAUGAGCCUAGGUCGGAUUAGCUAGUUGGUGGGGUAAAGGCCUACCAAGGCGACGAUCCGUAACUGGUCUGAGAGGAUGAUCAGUCACACUGGAACUGAGACACGGUCCAGACUCCUACGGGAGGCAGCAGUGGGGAAUAUUGGACAAUGGGCGAAAGCCUGAUCCAGCCGUGCCGCGUGUGUGAAGAAGGUCUUCGGAUUGUAAAGCACUUUAAGUUGGGAGGAAGGGCAGUAAGUUAAUACCUUGCUGUUUUGACGUUACCAACAGAAUAAGCACCGGCUAACUUCGUGCCAGCAGCCGCGGUAAUACGAAGGGUGCAAGCGUUAAUCGGAAUUACUGGGCGUAAAGCGCGCGUAGGUGGUUCAGCAAGUUGGAUG
This 571-nucleotide ribosomal RNA is filed under the name Pseudomonas aeruginosa. Its description in RNAcentral is "bacterial SSU rRNA". It matches the Rfam family "Bacterial small subunit ribosomal RNA", at positions 1 to 594 of the family's 1533-position model. The record is from RNAcentral. Lineage: Bacteria; Pseudomonadati; Pseudomonadota; Gammaproteobacteria; Pseudomonadales; Pseudomonadaceae.